GAUGAACGCUGGCGGCGUGCCUAAUACAUGCAAGUCGAGCGAACAGACGAGGAGCUUGCUCCUCUGACGUUAGCGGCGGACGGGUGAGUAACACGUGGAUAACCUACCUAUAAGACUGGGAUAACUUCGGGAAACCGGAGCUAAUACCGGAUAAUAUAUUGAACCGCAUGGUUCAAUAGUGAAAGACGGUUUUGCUGUCACUUAUAGAUGGAUCCGCGCCGCAUUAGCUAGUUGGUAAGGUAACGGCUUACCAAGGCAACGAUGCGUAGCCGACCUGAGAGGGUGAUCGGCCACACUGGAACUGAGACACGGUCCAGACUCCUACGGGAGGCAGCAGUAGGGAAUCUUCCGCAAUGGGCGAAAGCCUGACGGAGCAACGCCGCGUGAGUGAUGAAGGUCUUCGGAUCGUAAAACUCUGUUAUUAGGGAAGAACAAAUGUGUAAGUAACUAUGCACGGCUUGACGGUACCUAAUCAGAAAGCCACGGCUAACUACGUG
This 497-nucleotide ribosomal RNA is filed under the name uncultured bacterium. RNAcentral describes it as "partial 16S ribosomal RNA". It matches the Rfam family "Bacterial small subunit ribosomal RNA", at positions 28 to 507 of the family's 1533-position model. The record is from RNAcentral.